This 520-nucleotide ribosomal RNA is filed under the name uncultured Glomus. RNAcentral describes it as "bacterial SSU rRNA". It matches the Rfam family "Eukaryotic small subunit ribosomal RNA", at positions 569 to 1090 of the family's 1831-position model. Lineage: Eukaryota; Fungi; Glomeromycota; Glomeromycetes; Glomerales; Glomeraceae. The record is from RNAcentral.
AGCAGCCGCGGUAAUUCCAGCUCCAAUAGCGUAUAUUAAAGUUGUUGCAGUUAAAAAGCUCGUAGUUGAAUUUCGGGGUCAGUAGUUUGGUCGUGCCACUGGUAUGUACUGGGCUCACUGAUUCCUCCUUCCUGAUGAGCCUUAAUGCCAUUAAUUUGGUGUUUUGGGGAAUUUGGACUGUUACUUUGAAAAAAUUAGAGUGUUUAAAGCAGGCUCACGCUUGAAUACAUUAGCAUGGAAUAAUGAAAUAGGACGUUUGAUUCUAUUUUGUUGGUUUCUAGGAUCGACGUAAUGAUUAAUAGGGAUAGUUGGGGGCAUUAGUAUUCAAUUGUCAGAGGUGAAAUUCUUGGAUUUAUUGAAGACUAACUACUGCGAAAGCAUUUGCCAAGGAUGUUUUCAUUAAUCAAGAACGAAAGUUAGGGGAUCGAAGACGAUUACAGAUACCGUCGUAGUACUAACCAAUAAACUAUCGCCGACGUAGGGAGUCGGAUGAUUAGUUUUAAAUUUUUAAUGUACUCUA